AUCAUUUUAGAGUGUCCAAGGUGCUUGUAGAAGGAAGAGAUCAGCUCGCAGACUAGUAUCUUCGAGCCCCUGAUUUGCGUCAGUCUUUGCAUGGAUUUUUCUAUAGAAAUCAGAUGACUUCGUGUGUCUGUGAGCAACUUGAGAAACACCCUCUCCAACCAUUGGACUAAAGGAGAUCAAGAUUGAAAUUUAUUUGAUAAUGAUC
RNAcentral lists this long non-coding RNA (205 nucleotides) under Elaeis guineensis (African oil palm). RNAcentral's name for it is "long non-coding RNA (EGUI_LNC030680)". The record is from RNAcentral. Lineage: Eukaryota; Viridiplantae; Streptophyta; Magnoliopsida; Arecales; Arecaceae.